AGAGUUUGAUUCUGGCUCAGGAUGAACGCUAGCUACAGGCUUAACACAUGCAAGUCGAGGGGCAGCAUUGGAGUAGCAAUACUCAGAUGGCGACCGGCGCACGGGUGAGUAACACGUAUCCAACCUGCCGCUUACUCGGGGAUAGCCUUUCGAAAGAAAGAUUAAUACCCGAUGGUAUAAAGAGUUCGCAUGUUCUCUUUAUUAAAGAAUUUCGGUAAGCGAUGGGGAUGCGUUCCAUUAGAUAGUUGGCGGGGUAACGGCCCACCAAGUCUACGAUGGAUAGGGGUUCUGAGAGGAAGGUCCCCCACAUUGGAACUGAGACACGGUCCAAACUCCUACGGGAGGCAGCAGUGAGGAAUAUUGGUCAAUGGACGAGAGUCUGAACCAGCCAGGUAAGCGUGAAGGAUGACUGCCCUAUGGGUUGUAAACUUCUUUUAUAAGGGAAUAAAGUGAGGGACGUGUCCCUUUUUGUAUGUACCUUAUGAAUAAGGAUCGGCUAACUCCGUGCCAGCAGCGGC
Molecule: ribosomal RNA, 518 nt
Filed under: uncultured bacterium
Lineage: Bacteria
Description: bacterial SSU rRNA
Rfam family: Bacterial small subunit ribosomal RNA
Source: RNAcentral